UACGGGGGGGGCAAGCGUUGUUCGGAAUUACUGGGCGUAAAGGGCGCGUAGGCGGUUCGUUAAGUCCUGUGUGAAAUCCCUCGGCCCAACCGAGGAACUGCGCCCGAGACUGCUUCUCUUGAGUCCCGGAGAGGAAGGUGGAAUUCCCGGUGUAGCGGUGAAAUGUGUAGAGAUCGGGAGGAACACCGGUGGCGAAGGCGGCCUUCUGGACGGUGACUGACGCUGAGGCGCGAAAGCGUGGGGAGCAAACGGG
This 253-nucleotide ribosomal RNA is filed under the name uncultured bacterium. Its description in RNAcentral is "partial 16S ribosomal RNA". It matches the Rfam family "Bacterial small subunit ribosomal RNA", at positions 524 to 776 of the family's 1533-position model. The record is from RNAcentral.